RNAcentral lists this unclassified non-coding RNA (345 nucleotides) under soil metagenome. RNAcentral's name for it is "partial contains 5.8S ribosomal RNA, internal transcribed spacer 2, and large subunit ribosomal RNA". The stretch from base 1 to 120 matches the Rfam family "5.8S ribosomal RNA", at positions 35 to 154 of the family's 154-position model. The record is from RNAcentral.
GAUGAAGAACGCAGCGAAAUGCGAUACGUAAUGUGAAUUGCAGAAUUCAGUGAAUCAUCGAGUCUUUGAACGCACAUUGCGCCCCCUGGUAUUCCGGGGGGCAUGCCUGUCCGAGCGUCAUUGCUGCCCUCAAGCACGGUUUGUGUGUUGGGCCUCCGUCCUCCUCCCGGGGGACGGGCCCGAAAGGCAGCGGCGGCACCGCGUCCGGUCCUCGAGCGUAUGGGGCUUCGUCACCCGCUCUUGUAGGCCCGGCCGGCGCUUGCCGACACAUCAAUCUUUUUUCCAGGUUGACCUCGGAUCAGGUAGGGAUACCCGCUGAACUUAAGCAUAUCAAUAAGCGGAGGA